This is a long non-coding RNA of Arvicola amphibius (Eurasian water vole), 717 nucleotides long. RefSeq lists it as uncharacterized. The transcript has 3 exons. The record is from RefSeq and is a predicted model, not a curated record. Lineage: Eukaryota; Metazoa; Chordata; Mammalia; Rodentia; Cricetidae.
CCCGCCCGCCGUACUACUAAUCUUUCAAAAUUAUUUAUGUUAAUACAUUGCAGAUAGCAAGCAUGGCAGCAAAGAGUGGUGGCUCCCGUCUUCUUUCAAUCACUCGGCCCGGCAAAAAGGAGGUUGGCAAGUCAUUUGAGGGGAGCUGGUUUUACCACCUGGAAAAAUUUGCCCUGCCAAUCAGUGGAUGGCAGACAGAUUGUUUGAGUUUGCCUAGAGAUGUUUUAGAUAAGGGGGGAGUCGGCGCAAUAAAUGGGUUAAUGUCAGCCUGCAAAUUCCAUAACGUGGCCAAGACUCCAGGUGUUUAUCGCUACAAGUUAGUAAUGGAGUUAACCACAAGAAGCACACUGAAAGAAGAAGGAAUUGGGGGGGGGCAUUCUGAGUUCGAUAACUCAGAAGUCCUCCUGGCAAGACUCCUCUGGGAAUAGCGCGCUCUAAACUUAAGAGGCCUUGUCUCUACUUUCUAAUCGAGUUGGAUGAAAUCGGGAUUUCAGUGUGCCGAGGUUUCCAUUCUUUUCAGGUCUUCGGAUCCCUUCUAUGUAGUCAUGGCUGUUCUGGAACUUACUAUGCAGACCAAACUGCCCUCAAUGAACAGAGAUCCUCCUGUCUUUGCCUCCCGAGUGCUGGGAUUAAAGGCAUGUGUCACCAUGCUUGGUCUAGAAGUUAACUUUUGGUUCAAUUUCUUUGAAUAAAAACCUGUUUAAUAUCAUGAGGAAA